AUCCAGCUGACGAGUCCCAAAUAGAACGUGACGUGCAUCCUGGAU
Schistosoma margrebowiei is the source of this 45-nucleotide non-coding RNA. NCBI's taxonomy places the organism in Eukaryota, Metazoa, Platyhelminthes, Trematoda, Strigeidida, Schistosomatidae. The record is from Rfam.